GUUUGGAUAUACUGACAGGAACAAGCACUGUUGAAAAAAGAGGCCAUUCAGAAAUUAGUGAAGUUCUUCCAAGAUUGCCUAGAACAGUAUUUUGGCCAUAUAUUGGACGCUUUCUUGAAGAUAAUCACGAAAUCUUCUAGGCUAAAUACAACAAUGGCUACCAAUGGUUUAACAACAUUGCACAUUGCAAGACUUGACAAUUCAAAUUUGGUGGUCGCAAAAGUGUGGAGACUUGAAUUCAUAUAAAGUUAGGCUUAACAUUAGUGCAAACAGUUGUAUUUUAGUUUAGAUUUAGAGUACACUUAUGUAUGCGUUAUUUGACAAUGCUUAUUUAUGAUAUAUUGAAUGAUACUUAUUUAUAUUAUAUUAAUUAUAAUGUUGUUCAA
RNA transcript from Zea mays, 386 nucleotides. It is a transcript of the gene named MAP3K epsilon protein kinase pseudogene, with no coding region annotated. The record is from RefSeq and is a predicted model, not a curated record. Lineage: Eukaryota; Viridiplantae; Streptophyta; Magnoliopsida; Poales; Poaceae. The transcript has 2 exons.